Molecule: ribosomal RNA, 253 nt
Filed under: uncultured bacterium
Lineage: Bacteria
Description: partial 16S ribosomal RNA
Rfam family: Bacterial small subunit ribosomal RNA
Source: RNAcentral
UACGUAGGGUGCGAGCGUUAAUCGGAAUUACUGGGCGUAAAGCGUGCGCAGGCGGUUAUGCAAGACAGAGGUGAAAUCCCCGGGCUCAACCUGGGAACUGCCUUUGUGACUGCAUAGCUAGAGUACGGUAGAGGGGGAUGGAAUUCCGCGUGUAGCAGUGAAAUGCGUAGAUAUGCGGAGGAACACCGAUGGCGAAGGCAGUCCCCUGGGCCUGUACUGACGCUCAUGCACGAAAGCGUGGGGAGCAAACAGG